RNAcentral lists this ribosomal RNA (405 nucleotides) under uncultured bacterium. RNAcentral's name for it is "bacterial SSU rRNA". It matches the Rfam family "Bacterial small subunit ribosomal RNA", at positions 8 to 402 of the family's 1533-position model. The record is from RNAcentral.
AGAGUUUUUCCUGGCUCAGGUCGAACGCUGGCGGCGUGCCUAAUACAUGCAAGUCGAGCGGACCGGGCGGAAGCUUGCUUCCGCUUGGUUAGCGGCGGACGGGUGAGUAACACGUGGGUAACCUGCCCGUAAGACCGGGAUAACUCCGGGAAACCGGAGCUAAUACCGGAUAACACCGAAGACCGCAUGGUCUUCGGUUGAAAGGCGGCUUCGGCUGCCACUUACGGAUGGGCCCGCGGCGCAUUAGCUAGUUGGUGAGGUAACGGCUCACCAAGGCGACGAUGCGUAGCCGGCCUGAGAGGGUGACCGGCCACACUGGGACUGAGACACGGCCCAGACUCCUACGGGAGGCAGCAGUAGGGAAUUUUCCGCAAUGGACGAAAGUCUGACGGAGCGACGCCGCGU